GAUGAACGCUGGCGGCGUGCCUAAUACAUGCAAGUCGAGCGAACAGACGAGGAGCUUGCUCCUCUGACGUUAGCGGCGGACGGGUGAGUAACACGUGGAUAACCUACCUAUAAUACUGGGCUAACUUCGGGAAACCGGAGCUAAUACCGGAUAAUAUAUUGAACCGCAUGGUUCAAUAGUGAAAGACGGUUUUGCUGUCACUUAUAGAUGGAUCCGCGCCGCAUUAGCUAGUUGGUAAGGUAACGGCUUACCAAGGCGACGAUGCGUAGCCGACCUGAGAGGGUGAUAGGCCACACUGGAACUGAGACACGGUCCAGACUCCUACGGGAGGCAGCAGUAGGGAAUCUUCCGCAAUGGGCGAAAGCCUGACGGAGCAACGCCGCGUGAGUGAUGAAGGUCUUCGGAUCGUAAAACUCUGUUAUUAGGGAAGAAGAAAUGUGUAAGUAACUAUGCACGUCUUGACGGUACCUAAUCAGAAAGCCACGGCUAACUACGUG
RNAcentral lists this ribosomal RNA (497 nucleotides) under uncultured bacterium. Its description in RNAcentral is "partial 16S ribosomal RNA". It matches the Rfam family "Bacterial small subunit ribosomal RNA", at positions 28 to 507 of the family's 1533-position model. The record is from RNAcentral.